UAUCGGGAGCAGACAACAGGGAUUGCCCUAGUAACGGCGAGUGAAGCGGCAACAGCUCAAAUUUGAAAUCUGGCUCUUUUAGAGUCCGAGUUGUAAUUUGCAGAGGGCGCUUUGGCUUUGGCAGCGGUCCAAGUUCCUUGGAACAGGACGUCACAGAGGGUGAGAAUCCCGUACGUGGUCGCUGGCUAUUGCCGUGUAAAGCCCCUUCGACGAGUCGAGUUGUUUGGGAAUGCAGCUCUAAAUGGGAGGUACAUUUCUUCUAAAGCUAAAUAUUGGCCAGAGACCGAUAGCGCACAAGUAGAGUGAUCGAAAGAUGAAAAGCACUUUGGAAAGAGAGUCAAACAGCACGUGAAAUUGUUGAAAGGGAAGCGCUUGCAGCCAGACUUGCUUACAGUUGCUCAUCCGGGUUUUUACCCGGUGCACUCUUCUGUAGGCAGGCCAGCAUCAGUUUGGGCGGUAGGAUAAAGGUCUCUGUCACGUACCUCCUUUCGGGGAGGCCUUAUAGGGGAGACGACAUACUACCAGCCUGGACUGAGGUCCGCGCAUCUGCUAGGAUGCUGGCGUAAUGGCUGUAAGCGGCCCGUCUUGAAACACGGACCAAGGAGUCUAACAUCUAUGCGAGUGUUUGGGUGUCAAGCCCGAGCGCGUAAUGAAAGUGAACGGAGGUGGGAACCCGCAAGGGUGCACCAUCGACCGAUCCUGAUGUCUUCGGAAGGAUUUGAGUAAGAGCAUGGCUGUUGGGACCCGAAAGAUGGUGAACUAUGCUUGAAUAGGGUGAAGCCAGAGGAAACUCUGGUGGAGGCUCGCAGCGGUUCUGACGUGCAAAUCGAUCGUCAAAUUUGGGCAUAGGGGCGAAAGACUAAUCGAACUAUCUAGUAGCUGGUCCUGCGGUCUCCUCCCACCAGAGAAAGAAAAGAAAAA
Molecule: ribosomal RNA, 921 nt
Filed under: Alternaria sp. TD8
Lineage: Eukaryota; Fungi; Ascomycota; Dothideomycetes; Pleosporales; Pleosporaceae
Description: eukaryotic LSU rRNA
Rfam family: Eukaryotic large subunit ribosomal RNA
Source: RNAcentral